CGGCGAGUGAAGCGGCAACAGCUCAGAUUUGAAAUCUGGCCCUUACGGGGUCCGAGUUGUAAUCUGUAGAGGAUGCUUUUGGCGACGCGCCUUCCGAGUCCCCUGGAACGGGGCGCCAGAGAGGGUGAGAGCCCCGUAUGGUUGGACGCCGAACCUCUGUAAAGCUCCUUCGACGAGUCGAGUAGUUUGGGAAUGCUGCUCAAAAUGGGAGGUAAAUUUCUUCUAAAGCUAAAUACCGGCCAGAGACCGAUAGCGCACAAGUAGAGUGAUCGAAAGAUGAAAAGCACUUUGAAAAGAGGGUCAAAUAGCACGUGAAAUUGCUGAAAGGGAAGCGCUUGUGACCAGACUUGCGCCCGGUUGAUCAUCCAGCGUUCUCGCUGGUGCACUCUGCCGGGUUCAGGCCAGCAUCGGCUCUCCCAGGGGGAUAAAGGUCGCGGGAACGUAGCUCUCUCCGGGGAGUGUUAUAGCCCGUGGCGGAAUGCCCUUAGGGGGGGCCGAGGCUCGCGUUCGCAAGGAUGCUGGCGUAAUGGUCACCAGCGACCCGUCUUGAAACACGGACCAAGGAGUCAAGCAUUAGGGCGAGUCUUUGGGUGUAAAACCCGCAGGCGCAAUGAAAGUGAACGGAGGUGAGAGCUUCGGCGCAUCAUCGACCGAUCCUGAUGUUCUCGGAUGGAUUUGAGUAAGAGCCUUACCGCUUGGACCCGAAAGAUGGUGAACUAUGCCUGAAUAGGGUGAAGCCAGAGGAAACUCUGGUGGAGGCUCGCAGCGGUUCUGACGUGCAAAUCGAUCGUCAAAUUUGGGCAUGGGGGCGAAAGACUAAUCGAACCAUUAACUACUACUAGGUGGUUAAGAGGUCCGGUCGAAAAGACCAGGCCUAGUUAUCAGCGUCAUGAGCGCUAGUAGCGACACUGUCAAACUGCCGGGGACUGCCUGAUUAACACCUAAGCUACCGCUGACCCGUCGAAAGACGGGCUCGGCACCGGGCCUAACGAGCCUGGGUACGGUAAAAAUGCUUAGGUUAGGGCAUAUCCGCAGCCAACUCCUCGUGGCCCCCGCCCUGCCCAGGGUGGGACCGGUGGAGGCAGUUCACAGACUAGAUGGCAGUGGGUCCGGAGGCGACGUAGGAGCCGCCGGGCUUAAGAUAUAGUCGUUGGCGCCCGAGAAA
This 1165-nucleotide ribosomal RNA is filed under the name Distoseptispora hainanensis. RNAcentral's name for it is "Distoseptispora sp. XT-2023a partial large subunit ribosomal RNA". It matches the Rfam family "Eukaryotic large subunit ribosomal RNA", at positions 87 to 1211 of the family's 3401-position model. Lineage: Eukaryota; Fungi; Ascomycota; Sordariomycetes; Distoseptisporaceae. The record is from RNAcentral.